AGGCCCUCGAAUGGCUCCAGGUAGCACAGUUUGAAAACAGCAGAUCCAAUCCCUUCAUUUUACAGAAACAGAAACCCACAGAAGGUGAAGAAAUGAGGAAACGUGACAAAGGUGAGAGACAGGGGUAAAAUGUGUAUGUCAGAGAAGGGAAUUGCUUUGUCACAUUUUCCCAUUAUGGCUCUCCACUGUAAUUCCAGAACACUCCGCAAGAUUUGUUCUUCCUCAUCCAGGAAUUCACAGUGUGAUGCAUCCAGCCUAGGCCAGAAACAAAAGAGGCCUGGAGAGAAUGUCAGGGGUGUGGUGUAGAAGUCAAACCUUGCUGGGUAGAGGCGGUGGCUUUGAGGACUCUGGCGACGGAGAGGAAGUUCUGACAUGAACAUGCUACAGGUUUCUGUAGUGUUGGUGGUGGUGGUGACUUAAAAGGAGGAAGGAAGAAAGGAAGGAGGAAGAGAGGAAGGGAAAGAGGAAGAAGAGAGGAAGGGGAAAGAAGAGGAAGAAAGGAGGGAGGAAAGGGAAGGCGAGAGAAGAAAAGCUGAGCCAAUGGAGGAGGGAAGUAAUGUCUCAUCAAAGAAAGCCAAGUUCCCGAAGAUUCAAGUCCCAAAAUGUAUAGUUCACAUGGGUUCAGACUUCAUCCCUCACUUCCCUGAUAUCUGGAUUUCUGAGCUGAAGUGUAGGUGCGGCCUGGGUGCCAGAAGUCUUCAAAGAGAUGAGCCUCUGAUGGAUUUGAAGAAUGAAGAGUCCACCCAGAG
RNAcentral lists this long non-coding RNA (749 nucleotides) under Rhinopithecus bieti (black snub-nosed monkey). RNAcentral describes it as "lncRNA (ENSRBIG00000045113.1)". The record is from RNAcentral. Lineage: Eukaryota; Metazoa; Chordata; Mammalia; Primates; Cercopithecidae.